GUGAUUUUGCUUAUGCUCAUCAUCGUCCAAAGUUCAUCACAUGGUCACGAUUGUUUGAUGGUGUUUCAUUUUUCAUUUUUCUUUCUAUAAACCAGAAUGAUUUUAAAUUUGGAGCGUACGUACAUCUUAGUGAGGCGUACCUAAUAAAAAUAUGGAAAAAAAUAUUUUCGUAAAAAAUACCCCUGAAAAAUUACGGGGGUGUUUUGGUCAAUUUUUAUUUCGUGAAUUAUUUUUUAUAUAUUUUUAUUUGAUUUUCCUAUUUUUUAUGAACACACAAUCUAAAUUUCAGAUCAUUCCGAUUUGUAGAAAAAAAAUGAAAAUUGAAAAACUACUGUAUAACUGUGACCGUGCGAUGAACUUUAGAUGGUGAUGAGCAUAGGCGAAAUCACUGUUCAUACCUAUAGGCGUUGUGUAGUGUUUUCCAUAUAUAUAUAUAUGUGUGUGUGUGUGUGUGUGUGUUAUGUGUGUGUGUAUGUGGAAAAAGAUCAUGUACGCCCAUGUGCGUACUGCUACAGUAAACACCCAACGGUGUGUGUGUAGAAAAAGAUCUUGUACGCCCAUGUGCGUACUGCUACAGUAAAGCCCAACAGCCCAUAUUGAAUCUGAGCCAAUCUGACAAUCACGAAUGUACGGUAGUGUUUGAAUUUUAUUUUAUUUUUUUAUAAAUCCAAAUUACUUGAAAUUUUAAGCGUGUGUUUUUAAAAAAUAAACGAAUCUAUGAAAAAUAUCAAAAACAAUUUACAUGUAAUAAAUUGAUCAAACUUUCGAGGGUAUUUUGGUCAUUUUUUUCACGAAUAUAUAUUAGGUGUGACUUGAUGAGAAGAACAUAUACCUAAAAUUCGACUGUGAUUGUCAAAAUUUUAAGUGAUUUGGAUUUGCAGAAAAAAGUCAAAAUUCAAAAACGAAAUGAGGCUGUGACUGUCAGAUCGGCCCAGAUUCAAUCUAGGCCAUUGACGUUUACUGUAGCGGCCAGUGAGUGGGAGUACAUAGUCCAAAUUGGCAAAAAAUAAAUUGAUCAAAAUACCCCCAAAGUAUUUCGGGGGUAUUUUGGUCAGUUUAUUUCAUGUAAAUUUUUUUUUUGAUAUUUUAUUAGAUUCAUCUACUUUUUAAGAACACGUCUAAAUUUUUUAGUGAUUUGGAUUUGUAGAAAAAAUAUUAAAAUUCAAAUAUGAAAUGAGG
This 1179-nucleotide long non-coding RNA is filed under the name Amborella trichopoda. RNAcentral describes it as "long non-coding RNA (ATRI_LNC000841)". The record is from RNAcentral. Lineage: Eukaryota; Viridiplantae; Streptophyta; Magnoliopsida; Amborellales; Amborellaceae.